Molecule: non-coding RNA, 508 nt
Organism: Coturnix japonica (Japanese quail)
Lineage: Eukaryota; Metazoa; Chordata; Aves; Galliformes; Phasianidae
Source: RefSeq, a predicted model, not a curated record
GCUUCCGGCCUCCGCCAGGCCUUAAGGCGGCGCGGGGCGGCGCAGUGCGCAUGCGCAUAAAGCUCGCGCCUGCGUAGCUCAGGCCGCGGUGUUGGGCCUGUGGCGGCGGGACGAACGAGGGUUUGUGCUUCACAGCACCGAGGCCGUGUGUGGAGACAGGAGCUGAGAAGCGGCCUGUGUGGGCUCCGUGAUCCUCCUCAGGGCCUUGUCAGAGCUCAUACACAGCCUGAAUAGCCCCACAUCAUCCUCAUCCAUCCCUUACCACCAUUAGGUUCUCCAAUGCAGUAACACACAUUCCCAUAGUCGCACAGCUGACGUGGAGGUGGCAGCGCUGCUUCCACCUGCAGCAACUGCAGCAUCCGCAGCAACUGGAUGCCACCCCGAACAGGCAGGUGGGUGGGUGCUGGCAGAGGGAACCUGGUGUUGCUGGCUGUGUCCUGACCCCCGUGAUCUGACAAGACCAGUGCUCAGGUGUCCCCAGGAUGUGGCUUUGUGGGUCUUUAUUCUU